GACGAACGCUGGCGGCGUGCCUAAUACAUGCAGGUAGAACGCUGAAGGAGGAGCUUGCUUCUCUGGAUGAGUUGCGAACGGGUGAGUAACGCGUAGGUAACCUGCCUGGUAGCGGGGGAUAACUAUUGGAAACGAUAGCUAAUACCGCAUAAGAGUAGAUGUUGCAUGACAUUUGCUUAAAAGGUGCAAUUGCAUCACUACCAGAUGGACCUGCGUUGUAUUAGCUAGUUGGUGGGGUAACGGCUCACCAAGGCGACGAUACAUAGCCGACCUGAGAGGGUGAUCGGCCACACUGGGACUGAGACACGGCCCAGACUCCUACGGGAGGCAGCAGUAGGGAAUCUUCGGCAAUGGACGGAAGUCUGACCGAGCAACGCCGCGUGAGUGAAGAAGGUUUUCGGAUCGUAAAGCUCUGUUGUAAGAGAAGAACGAGUGUGAGAGUGGAAAGUUCACACUGUGACGGUAUCUUACCAGAAAGGGACGGCUAACUACGUG
RNAcentral lists this ribosomal RNA (495 nucleotides) under uncultured bacterium. RNAcentral's name for it is "partial 16S ribosomal RNA". It matches the Rfam family "Bacterial small subunit ribosomal RNA", at positions 28 to 507 of the family's 1533-position model. The record is from RNAcentral.